UAAGGAAUAUUGGUCAAUGGAGGCAACUCUGAACCAGCCAUGCCGCGUGCAGGAAGACGGCCCUCUGGGUUGUAAACUGCUUUUAUUCGGGAAUAAACCUUUGCUCGUGAGCGAAGCUGAAUGUACCGAAGGAAUAAGGAUCGGCUAACUCCGUGCCAGCAGCCGCGGUAAUACGGAGGAUCCAAGCGUUAUCCGGAUUUAUUGGGUUUAAAGGGUGCGUAGGCGGCCUGUUAAGUCAGGGGUGAAAGACGGUAGCUCAACUAUCGCAGUGCCCUUGAUACUGAUGGGCUUGAAUGGACUAGAGGUAGGCGGAAUGAGACAAGUAGCGGUGAAAUGCAUAGAUAUGUCUCAGAACACCGAUUGCGAAGGCAGCUUACUAUGGUCUUAUUGACGCUGAGGC
Molecule: ribosomal RNA, 400 nt
Filed under: uncultured bacterium
Lineage: Bacteria
Description: bacterial SSU rRNA
Rfam family: Bacterial small subunit ribosomal RNA
Source: RNAcentral